Molecule: ribosomal RNA, 280 nt
Filed under: uncultured bacterium
Lineage: Bacteria
Description: partial 16S ribosomal RNA
Rfam family: Bacterial small subunit ribosomal RNA
Source: RNAcentral
ACUUGCUUCCUUUGCUGGCGACCGGCGCACGGGUGAGUAACACGUAUCCAACCUGCCCUUUACUCGGGGAUAGCCUUUCGAAAGAAAGAUUAAUACCCGAUAGUAUAAUGAUUCCGCAUGGUUUCAUUAUUAAAGGAUUCCGGUAAAGGAUGGGGAUGCGUUCCAUUAGGUUGUUGGUGAGGUAACGGCUCACCAAGCCUUCGAUGGAUAGGGGUUCUGAGAGGAAGGUCCCCCACAUUGGAACUGAGACACGGUCCAAACUCCUACGGGAGGCAGCAUG